UACGUUUUAUUAUUUUAUUAAACGUUUACAGUAAAAUAUAUUGCUUUCUGUGCUGAAUACAUUUUCUUGUUUUACGCAGAUUGAUUGAACAAAUUUAAAAAAUUUACAAAACAAUUUGACUGUAUAAAAGACUUGAAAAAAUUAUUGGAACAAAAUGAAGAUUAUUUAAUGAGCAGCUCGAGCGAAAAUGAGACAGACAAUGAAUCAUCAUUAUCCGCUUGGGAUUUAAAAAAGUACAGCGAUGACGAUUCAUUUUCCAAAAAUCACGUAUUGGAAAUAAAAUGUUCAAAUUCCAUAACCUCAAAGAAAAGAAAUGGAGAAAAAAGAUUACCUACAAGAAGACCUGAUCCAAACGUCUACAAUCGCAAUGCUUUAUUGGCAAGAGAAAAUAGACGAAAGAAAAAGGCGUAUUUGGAAACAAUUGAGAAAGAGUUACAAUUCGCUCGGAAAGCUAAUCAUGCUUUAGUGAAAGCUCUUAAGCGACAGCUAAAAAUAGCUCAACGCCUUGAAAAGGAAAAGAAAUAUUAUGAAGGGUUGUUUUCUAAUAGAACUGAUAUAUUAAACCUUGUGAAUGCAUUAAAUUUUCGUUGCAUUCCUGAAUCGAGCGGUUCACCUUAUUCCACCUCUAGUAGCAAUGCAGAUUUAAUUCAGAACGUCAUGAGAAGUACAACGAGCCUUAGCAGUAAUUUAAAUGAUGCCGACGCGCUGUCAAUACAGUUUGAUAGUCCAUCUGAUGAUUUAGAUAGUGACAAAGAUAACAACUUGCCCUCCACCUCUACAACAUGGGAUGAUAUAUGGGGUGUAAAUGGUGUUCAUAUUGAUAACUUAAUUUUGCCAGAAUCAACGCUUAUGCAAGAAAAAAGUGAUAUACAAAGCGUUAACGAUGACCACUGUUAUGUGAUGAGUUCUGCAUUGGAUAUUAUUCAAUCACCUAAAGAACAUAGUGAAACUAGUGAUUAUGUCGAUGUUGAAGGAGACUCAUCAGAAAUUGGAAUAUUCUGUUCAAGUAAUUGGAACCAAUCGUGUCGAACACCACCUCUUCAGCUUUUAAGUGACCAGACGUUUUAAACAGUUUUUUGUAAAAAUACACAUUUGGCUAAUUUUGGAUCAUCAACGAUGCUGCGGAAAGUGCUUGACGCUGGUGUAAAGCUCGCACAAUAUGUAGCAUCUAGUAGUCAAGCAAGCGGUUUAAGUUUUUCUAUCACGGAACAAAAAUCGUUACAACUUUUGCAGCAAAAAUAUGUAUCGUUUCAAUUGAACAAAUGAAGAAUGUAAGAACAAUGACACAGAGCCCAAAUUACGGUAUUUGAUAUCGAUCAAAAUAUUAAUAGAAUUUAAAUCGAUAUUCCGAUUGCUUUUGAAUGUCGUAAUUUUUCUACCACUUUUUCUUGCAAUCAUCAUUUGUUUCGUGUAUAUAUUAUCAUAUGUACAAAUCCAUCAACUGCAGUUUUCUUACUGUACAUAUGAUAAUUGGUAAAAUGUUUGUAAAUAAACGCGAGAUAAUGCGUUCUUAAAUUUUGUUUAAAAUUAAACUAAUCAAUUCUUUUUUAUUUGAGUAUUACUAUUGAGUUACAGAUUUGAAGAAGUAAUCCUCCUACCAAAUAUCUGCAAAGACUAGAUCAAUAUGUAAAUGCAACCAAUUGUGGUUUUUGGUAUUUGUUGAAAUGUUGAUGUAACCGGCUUGGAAAAUUAUACG
RNA transcript from Lucilia sericata (common green bottle fly), 1696 nucleotides. RefSeq lists it as uncharacterized. NCBI's taxonomy places the organism in Eukaryota, Metazoa, Arthropoda, Insecta, Diptera, Calliphoridae. The transcript is spliced from 5 exons. The record is from RefSeq and is a predicted model, not a curated record.